RNAcentral lists this ribosomal RNA (253 nucleotides) under uncultured bacterium. RNAcentral's name for it is "partial 16S ribosomal RNA". It matches the Rfam family "Bacterial small subunit ribosomal RNA", at positions 524 to 776 of the family's 1533-position model. The record is from RNAcentral.
UACAGAGGGUGCAAGCGUUAAUCGGAAUUACUGGGCGUAAAGCGUGUGUAGGUGGUUGGAUAAGUUAGAUGUGAAAUCCCCGGGCUUAACCUGGGCAUUGCGUUUAAAACUGUUUAACUAGAGUACUGUAGAGGAUAGUGGAAUUUCCAGUGUAGCGGUGAAAUGCGUAGAUAUUGGAAGGAACACCAGUGGCGAAGGCGACUAUCUGGACAGAUACUGACACUGAGACACGAAAGCAUGGGGAGCAAACAGG